Molecule: ribosomal RNA, 497 nt
Filed under: uncultured bacterium
Lineage: Bacteria
Description: partial 16S ribosomal RNA
Rfam family: Bacterial small subunit ribosomal RNA
Source: RNAcentral
GAUGAACGCUGGCGGCGUGCCUAAUACAUGCAAGUCGAGCGAACAGACGAGGAGCUUGCUCCUUCGACGUUAGCGGCGGACGGGUGAGUAACACGUAGGUAACCUACCUAUAAGACUGGGAUAACUUCGGGAAACCGGAGCUAAUACCGGAUAAUAUUUCGAACCGCAUGGUUCGAUAGUGAAAGAUGGCUUUGCUAUCACUUAUAGAUGGACCUGCGCCGUAUUAGCUAGUUGGUAAGGUAACGGCUUACCAAGGCAACGAUACGUAGCCGACCUGAGAGGGUGAUCGGCCACACUGGAACUGAGACACGGUCCAGACUCCUACGGGAGGCAGCAGUAGGGAAUCUUCCGCAAUGGGCGAAAGCCUGACGGAGCAACGCCGCGUGAGUGAUGAAGGUCUUCGGAUCGUAAAACUCUGUUAUUAGGGAAGAACAAACGUGUAAGUAACUGUGCACUUCUUGACGGUACCUAAUCAGAAAGCCACGGCUAACUACGUG